GGGGACGUUACGGAUUCGACAGGGAUAGUUUGAGCUUAGGUUGCGAGUCGAGGGGGUCGUCCUCGUAAAAACGCCAAAGCCAAUAAUAACUGGCAAAACUAACAAUAACCUCGCUUUUGCAGCGUAAGCUAGCAUAGCGGAUCCUCCCUCCAUCGCCCAUGUGGUAGGGUCAGGGUCUCAACUUUAGUGGGCUACGCCGGUUGUCCUCCGCCUGGGGACGAUGGAAGAGACCAAUCAGGCUAGCACUUCGGACGCCCGUCGAUAGGCAGAUGAAGGUGCGAAAUACGAAUAUAUCGACUACACUCGUAGAUGCUUAAGUGGCAAUGUUUCUGGACGUGGGUUCGAUUCCCACCGUCUCCACCA
This 363-nucleotide transfer-messenger RNA is filed under the name Heyndrickxia vini. RNAcentral's name for it is "Standard tmRNA". It matches the Rfam family "transfer-messenger RNA". From Rfam's summary of the family: Bacterial tmRNA, also known as 10Sa RNA or SsrA, is named for its dual tRNA and mRNA-like properties. Its role is to liberate the mRNA from a stalled ribosome. To accomplish this part of the tmRNA is used as a reading frame that ends in a translation stop signal. The record is from RNAcentral. Lineage: Bacteria; Bacillati; Bacillota; Bacilli; Caryophanales; Bacillaceae.